GGAGAGAUGCUCGAGUGGUUGAAGAGGCACGACUGGAAAUUGUGUGUACGUUAGCUCGUAUCGAGGGUUCGAAUCCCUCUCUCUCCG
This 87-nucleotide transfer RNA is filed under the name Coxiella endosymbiont of Amblyomma nuttalli. RNAcentral describes it as "tRNA-Ser". It matches the Rfam family "tRNA". From Rfam's summary of the family: Transfer RNA (tRNA) molecules are approximately 80 nucleotides in length. Their secondary structure includes four short double-helical elements and three loops (D, anti-codon, and T loops). Further hydrogen bonds mediate the characteristic L-shaped molecular structure. tRNAs have two regions of fundamental functional importance: the anti-codon, which is responsible for specific mRNA codon recognition, and the 3' end, to which the tRNAs corresponding amino acid is attached (by aminoacyl-tRNA synthetases). tRNAs cope with the degeneracy of the genetic code in two manners: having more than one tRNA (with a specific anti-codon) for a particular amino acid; and 'wobble' base-pairing, i.e. permitting non-standard base-pairing at the 3rd anti-codon position. The record is from RNAcentral. Lineage: Bacteria; Pseudomonadati; Pseudomonadota; Gammaproteobacteria; Legionellales; Coxiellaceae.